RNAcentral lists this ribosomal RNA (501 nucleotides) under uncultured bacterium. Its description in RNAcentral is "partial 16S ribosomal RNA". It matches the Rfam family "Bacterial small subunit ribosomal RNA", at positions 30 to 523 of the family's 1533-position model. The record is from RNAcentral.
AUUGAACGCUGGCGGCAGGCUUAACACACGCAAGUCGAGCGGGGGAAGGUAGCUUGCUACCGGACCUAGCGGCGGACGGGUGGGUAAUGCUUAGGAAUCUGCCUAUUAGUGGGGGACAACAUCUCGAAAGGGAUGCUAAUACCGCAUACGUCCUACGGGAGAAAGCAGGGGAUCUUCGGACCUUGCGCUAAUAGAUGAGCCUAAGUCGGAUUAGCUAGUUGGUGGGGUAAAGGCCUACCAAGGCGACGAUCUGUAGCGGGUCUGAGAGGAUGAUCCGCCACACUGGGACUAAGACACGGCCCAGACUCCUACGGGAGGCAGCAGUGGGGAAUAUUGGACAAUGGGGGGAACCCUGAUCCAGCCAUGCCGCGUGUGUGAAGAAGGCCUUAUGGUUGUAAAGCACUUUAAGCGAGGAGGAGGCUACUUUAGUUAAUACCUAGAGAUAGUGGACGUUACUCGCAGAAUAAGCACCGGCUAACUCUGUGCCAGCCGCCGCCGUAA